AGAACAGCCAUUUUGUGAUGAUUCAAUGUAGCAGCCGAGUGUCAUGUCGUUGUGUUGGCGCCUGGGAGAUUUAUUUUGAAGUGAUGCUGUCUUUUUGGAUGAGAUCGGCUCGAGUGUGAUCCACGUGAACCUCGUGUCUGGUGAUAGUGGAAACUUCCAGUCUUAACCACAGGCUUUGUGAAAUGUUGCUCAUCAAAAGGAGCGUGACAGCAGCUUAUCAUCCUCAAACUAACGCCUGGAUGAAAAGACCAAUUACAACAUUAAACGAGCCCUCCAGAAAUUGGUUAACGACCAACAGAAUGACUGGGAUGUCUAUCUGGAUGCCACCUUUGUUUUCUUUACGAUCCAAGGUACACACCACCACCAAACACUCCCCCUUUCUUCUGAUGUAUGGGACAGAAGCAGUGUUCCCUGCAGAGCUUCCUGUUGAAAUGCCGGUGAGUGUGCUUAUUGAGUCAUUUCUUAUCAUACUAGCCUAUUUCAGAAGGAUUCUGCUUAAAGUAAAUUUCUUUAAAAAAA
Molecule: long non-coding RNA, 519 nt
Organism: Carassius gibelio (silver crucian carp)
Lineage: Eukaryota; Metazoa; Chordata; Actinopteri; Cypriniformes; Cyprinidae
Exons: 4
Source: RefSeq, a predicted model, not a curated record